This 762-nucleotide ribosomal RNA is filed under the name Orthotrichum schofieldii. RNAcentral's name for it is "partial 26S ribosomal RNA". It matches the Rfam family "Eukaryotic large subunit ribosomal RNA", at positions 34 to 792 of the family's 3401-position model. The record is from RNAcentral. Lineage: Eukaryota; Viridiplantae; Streptophyta; Bryopsida; Orthotrichales; Orthotrichaceae.
UUAAGCAUAUCACUGAGCGCAGGAGAAGAAACUAACCAGGAUUUCCCUAGUAACGGCGAGCGAACCGGAAAGAGCCCAGCUUGAAAAUCGUGGCGCCCUGGCGCCUCGAAUUGUAGUCUGGAGAAGGUCCCUCUGCGGCGCGCCGGAUUCAAGUUCCCUGGAAUGGGACGUCCGAGAGGGUGAGAACCCCGUCGUAUCCGGAGUGCGUCGCUCCACGAGGACCUGUCUGCGAGUCGGGCUGUUUGGGAAUGCAGCCCUAAGCGGGUGGUAAAUUCCAUCCAAGGCUAAAUAUUGGCAAGAGACCGAUAGCGAACAAGUACCGCGAGGGAAAGAUGAAAAGGACUUUGAAAAGAGAGUUAAAAAGUGCUUGAAAUUGCUGGGAGGGAAGCGAAUGGAAGCUGCGGGUGCGCCCCGGUUGGAUGCGGAACGGCCGUCAAACGCUGGUCCGCCGCUCAACGCGGGGCGCUGGUCAGCGUGGGCCAUCGCGGCGGGACAAGAGCGGGGAUUCGCUUCCCGCCGAUGCCGCUGCGGUGGCCGAGGAACGAAGCGCGCGCCUUCCGGCGUGGGACUCGUCCCAACUGCGCGCUCGAGACGCUGGCGUAUUGAGCUCUUCAUCCGACCCGUCUUGAAACACGGACCAAGGAGUCUAACAUGUAUGCGAGCCGGUGGGCGGCAAACCCAUUGAGGCGCAAGUAACCUGACAGGUGGGACCCCGCUUGCGGGAGCACCAUCGACCGACCGUGAUCUUCUGUGAAGGGUUCG